Molecule: ribosomal RNA, 257 nt
Filed under: uncultured bacterium
Lineage: Bacteria
Description: partial 16S ribosomal RNA
Rfam family: Bacterial small subunit ribosomal RNA
Source: RNAcentral
UAACGCGUGGAGAACCUGCCGUAUACUGGGGGAUAACACUUAGAAAUAGGUGCUAAUACCGCAUAAGCGCACAGCUUCGCAUGAAGCAGUGUGGAAAACAAAAAGCUAAAGCUUUUGGUGGUAUACGAUGGAUCCGCGUCUGAUUAGCUUGUUGGCGGGGUAAAGGCCCACCAAGGCGACGAUCAGUAGCCGGCCUGAGAGGGUGAACGGCCACAUUGGGACUGAGACACGGCCCAAACUCCUACGGAAGGCAGCAG